UGAGAAAAGACAGAAGCAAAUGUAGUG
Molecule: non-coding RNA, 27 nt
Filed under: Rattus norvegicus (Norway rat)
Lineage: Eukaryota; Metazoa; Chordata; Mammalia; Rodentia; Muridae
Source: RNAcentral